Molecule: transfer RNA, 68 nt
Filed under: bovine gut metagenome
Rfam family: tRNA
About the family: Transfer RNA (tRNA) molecules are approximately 80 nucleotides in length. Their secondary structure includes four short double-helical elements and three loops (D, anti-codon, and T loops).
Source: RNAcentral
GGCAAUAGCUCAGUUGGUAGAGCGUUGGCUUCCCAAGCCGAAGGUCGCGGGUUCGAGACCCGUUUGCC